This 464-nucleotide ribosomal RNA is filed under the name uncultured bacterium. RNAcentral's name for it is "bacterial SSU rRNA". It matches the Rfam family "Bacterial small subunit ribosomal RNA", at positions 1 to 449 of the family's 1533-position model. The record is from RNAcentral.
CCCUUAGAGUUUGAUCCUGGCUCAGGAUGAACGCUGGCGGCGUGCUUAACACAUGCAAGUCGAGCGAAGCAAUUUAAGUGAAGUUUUCGGAUGGAUCUUAAAUUGACUGAGCGGCGGACGGGUGAGUAACGCGUGGAUAACCUGCCUCACACAGGGGGAUAACAGUUAGAAAUGACUGCUAAUACCGCAUAAGCGCACGGUACCGCAUGGUACAGUGUGAAAAACUCCGGUGGUGUGAGAUGGAUCCGCGUCUGAUUAGGUAGUUGGUGAGGUAACGGCCCACCAAGCCGACGAUCAGUAGCCGACCUGAGAGGGUGAUCGGCCACAUUGGGACUGAGACACGGCCCAAACUCCUACGGGAGGCAGCAGUGGGGAAUAUUGCACAAUGGGCGAAAGCCUGAUGCAGCAACGCCGCGUGAGUGAAGAAGUAUCUCGGUAUGUAAAGCUCUAUCAGCAGGGAAGAA